Molecule: transfer RNA, 67 nt
Filed under: Marmota monax (woodchuck)
Lineage: Eukaryota; Metazoa; Chordata; Mammalia; Rodentia; Sciuridae
Description: tRNA.Asp
Source: RNAcentral
GGUUAUGGCUCAGAGGUAGAGCACUUGCCUAUCAUGCGUGAGGCACUGGGUUUGAUCCUCAGCACCA